This is a transfer RNA of Ovis aries (sheep), 73 nucleotides long. It matches the Rfam family "tRNA". From Rfam's summary of the family: Transfer RNA (tRNA) molecules are approximately 80 nucleotides in length. Their secondary structure includes four short double-helical elements and three loops (D, anti-codon, and T loops). Further hydrogen bonds mediate the characteristic L-shaped molecular structure. tRNAs have two regions of fundamental functional importance: the anti-codon, which is responsible for specific mRNA codon recognition, and the 3' end, to which the tRNAs corresponding amino acid is attached (by aminoacyl-tRNA synthetases). tRNAs cope with the degeneracy of the genetic code in two manners: having more than one tRNA (with a specific anti-codon) for a particular amino acid; and 'wobble' base-pairing, i.e. permitting non-standard base-pairing at the 3rd anti-codon position. NCBI's taxonomy places the organism in Eukaryota, Metazoa, Chordata, Mammalia, Artiodactyla, Bovidae. The record is from Rfam.
UUCCUGGUGGCUCAGAGGGUAAAGCGUCUGUCUGCAAGGCAGGAGACCUCGGUUCGAUCUCUGGGUUAGGAAG